AUUGAACGCUGGCGGCAGGCCUAAUACAUGCAAGUCGAACGGUAACACAAGAAAGCUUGCUUUCUUGAUGACGAGUGGCGGACGGGUGAGUAAUAUUUGGGAAGCUACCUGAUAGAGGGGGACAACAGUUGGAAACGACUGCUAAUACCGCAUAUAGCCUAAGGGUGAAAGCAGCGAUGCGCUAUCAGAUGCGCCCAAACGGGAUUAGCUAGUAGGUGAGGUAAAGGCUCACCUAGGCGACGAUCUCUAGCUGGUCUGAGAGGAUGAACGGCCACAUUGGGACUGAGAUACGGCCCAGACUCCUACGGGAGGCAGCAGUGGGGAAUAUUGGGCAAUGGGGGAAACCCUGACCCAGCAACGCCGCGUGAAGGAAGAAGGCCUCGGUUGUAAACGUUCUUUAGUCAGGGACGAAGGACGUGACGGUACCUGCAGAAAAGACAACGGCUAACUACGUG
Molecule: ribosomal RNA, 455 nt
Filed under: uncultured bacterium
Lineage: Bacteria
Description: bacterial SSU rRNA
Rfam family: Bacterial small subunit ribosomal RNA
Source: RNAcentral